UACGUAGGGGCGAGCGUUGUCCGGAUUUACUGGGCGUAAAGGGUGAGUAGGCGGUUAUAUAUGUCAGGUGUAAAAAGCUAUGGCUUAACCAUAGUAAGCACUUGAAACUGUAUGACUUGAGUGCAGGAGAGGUAAGCGGAAUUCCUAGUGUAGCGGUGAAAUGCGUAGAUAUAUGGAGGAACACCAGUGGCGAAGGCGACUUUCUGGUCUAUUAUUGACGCUGAGGCUCGAAAGCAUGGGUAGCAAACAGGAUUAGAUACCCCUGUA
Molecule: ribosomal RNA, 267 nt
Filed under: uncultured prokaryote
Description: partial 16S ribosomal RNA
Rfam family: Bacterial small subunit ribosomal RNA
Source: RNAcentral